GAUGAAGAACGUAGCGAAAUGCGAUAAGUAAUGUGAAUUGCAGAAUUCAGUGAAUCAUCGAAUCUUUGAACGCACAUUGCGCCCGCUAGUAUUCUGGCGGGCAUGCCUGUCCGAGCGUCAUUUCAACCCUCAAGCCCCCGGGCUUGGUGUUGGGGAUCGGCGAGCCUCCGCGCCCGCCGUCCCCUAAAUCUAGUGGCGGUCUCGCUGUAGCUUCCUCUGCGUAGUAGCACACCUCGCACUGGGAAACAGCGCGGCCACGCCGUUAAACCCCCCACUUCUGAACGUUUGACCUCGGAUCAGGUAGGAAUACCCGCUGAACUUAAGCAUAUCAAUAAGCGGAGGA
Molecule: unclassified non-coding RNA, 343 nt
Filed under: soil metagenome
Description: partial contains 5.8S ribosomal RNA, internal transcribed spacer 2, and large subunit ribosomal RNA
Rfam family: 5.8S ribosomal RNA (bases 1-120)
Source: RNAcentral